RNAcentral lists this microRNA precursor (108 nucleotides) under Paramuricea clavata. The record is from RNAcentral. Lineage: Eukaryota; Metazoa; Cnidaria; Anthozoa; Malacalcyonacea; Plexauridae.
GAAUUUUGCGCGCGGAGCGGAAUUUCUCUUUGUCUUUUCUAAUUAGUUCCACCCAAGAAAUCACAAGACAGAGAAAAAUUCCGCUCCGCACGCAAAAUUCCGCCUAGU